UUUUUCUUCGUUCAACCAUUU
RNAcentral lists this non-coding RNA (21 nucleotides) under Caenorhabditis elegans. The record is from RNAcentral. Lineage: Eukaryota; Metazoa; Nematoda; Chromadorea; Rhabditida; Rhabditidae.